UAUUAUUUUAAUUGUAAAUGUUAUUUACUUGAGUAGUAGUAGUUAAGUUCUUGAAACUCAAAGAAUUUGGCGGUGUUUCAGUCUUUUCAGAGGAAUCUGUCCUGUAAUCGAUAUUACACGUUAAAAGUCACUUAAUUUUGUAAAAGUCAACUUGUAUACCGCCGUCGUAAGAGUAUCUUUUUAGAGGUAAUAUUCUAAAUAUUAAUAAAUAAUAUGUCAGGUCAAGGUGCAGUUUAUAAUUAAGAUAGAGAUGGAUUACAAUGAAAUUAUUUAGAUGGAUCUUAUAAUGUGAAUUGUAAAUGAAGGUGGAUUUGAAGGUAAUAUUAUUAUAUUAAGGUAAUAUGAUUGAAGCGCUGGGACAUGCACACAUCGCCCGUCGCUCUCAUUAUUAAGGUGAG
This 398-nucleotide ribosomal RNA is filed under the name Montezumina bradleyi bradleyi. RNAcentral describes it as "partial 12S ribosomal RNA". It matches the Rfam family "Microsporidia small subunit ribosomal RNA", at positions 752 to 1220 of the family's 1311-position model. The record is from RNAcentral. Lineage: Eukaryota; Metazoa; Arthropoda; Insecta; Orthoptera; Tettigoniidae.